RNAcentral lists this ribosomal RNA (429 nucleotides) under Verrucomicrobiota bacterium. RNAcentral describes it as "Verrucomicrobia bacterium partial 16S ribosomal RNA". It matches the Rfam family "Bacterial small subunit ribosomal RNA", at positions 355 to 776 of the family's 1533-position model. The record is from RNAcentral. Lineage: Bacteria; Pseudomonadati; Verrucomicrobiota.
UAGGGAAUCUUCGGCAAUGGGGGGAACCCUGACCGAGCAACGCCGCGUGAGUGAAGAAGGUUUUCGGAUCGUAAAGCUCUGUUGUUAAGGAAGAACGAGUGUGAGAAUGGAAAGUUCAUGCUGUGACGGUACUUAACCAGAAAGGGACGGCUAACUACGUGCCAGCAGCCGCGGUAAUACGUAUGGGGCGAGCGUUGUCCGGAAUUAUUGGGCGUAAAGGGUACGUAGGCGGUUUUUUAAGUCAGGUGUCAAAGCGUGGAGCUUAACCUCAUUAAGCACUUGAAACUGAUAGACUUGAGUGAAGGAGAGGAAAGUGGAAUUCCUAGUGUAGCGAUGAAAUGCGUAGAUAUUAGGAGGAAUACCGGUGGCGAAGGCGACUUUCUGGACUUUUACUGACGCUCAGGUACGAAAGCGUGGGGAGCAAACAGG